CUGACACCAGGGAAACAAAACAAUCCCGAAGAACAAAUUUAUCUUCAUAUGAACGUAAAAAAAACAAGGAAAAAAAUAUGAAGCAAAAAAAAAAGCAAAAAAUCAAACUUCGGCAAAUUAACCGAUAAACAAAUUUGGAAAGAUAAAAAUAUAUUCCAUUAUUAUCCGAUAGAGUCCCAUUCUUAUCUACCUAUCUUUCCCUCUUUCCCUUCCUUUCCUUCACCUACACAGCGAUCAGCCAUGCAUAGUGUAAUAAUUAGGACGUAAAAGACUAUUAAUAUCCUAUAGAAACCGAUUUUUAUUAAUCUUUUCCUCCUUGCUUUCCCUCCAUCCACAAGCUACACAUUUUUCCUCCUUCCUUCUCCUUCCUUUCCCUCCUUCCACAAGCAACACAUAUACAGCGUUCGGCCAUGCAAAGUGUAGUAUUAAGCAGAACACAAAACCCCUUUUUAUUUACCAUUUCUCUCUUUCACUUCCUUUUCCUCCUUCCUUCUCCCUCCUUUCCCUCCUUCCACAAGCAACACAUAUACAGCGUUCGGCCAUGCAUAUAUAAGCUAUAAGGAGUUCUCGUAGUAUUUUGUGUUUGGUUGGGGUGCUUACAAACUAGUGGUACACCUAUACAGCGUUCAGCCAUUCACAUAUAUAGUGUAGUAAGUAUAACACUCAUCUCCGUAAUCGUCAGCCUGAAGAGUCAAACAAAUUAGGCCGGGCAGCAUAUUCCCGAAGUCUCUACUAGUAUGGGCCGCCAGCUCUUGAACAGGGCAGUCUAGGUUAGAUUAGAUUAUGAGCCGCCUACUCUUGAACAGGGCAGUAUAGGUUAGGUUAGAUUAUGUGCCGCCUACUCUUGAACAGGGCAGUAUAGGUUAGGUUAGACUAUGUGCCGCCUACUCUUGAACAGGGCAGUAUAGGUUAGGUUAGACUAUGUGCCGCCUACUCUUGAACAGGGCAGUAUAGGUUAGGUUAGACUAUGUGCCGCCUACUCUUGAACAGGGCAGUAUAGGUUAGGUUAGAUUAUGUGGCGCCUACUCUUGAACAGGGCAGUAUAGGUUAGGUUAGAUUAUGAGCCGCCUACUCUUGAACAGGGCAGUAUAGGUUAGGUUAGAUUAUGAGCCGCCUACUCUUGAACAGGGCAGUAUAGGUUAGGUUAGAUUAUGUGCCGCCUACUCUUGAACAGGGCAGUAUAGGUUAGGUUAAAUUAUGUGCCGCCUACUCUUGAACAGGGCAGUAUAGGUUAGGUUAGACUAUGUGCCGCCUACUCUUGAACAGGGCAGUAUAGGUUAGGUUAGACUAUGUGCCGCCUACUCUUGAACAGGGCAGUAUAGGUUAGGUUAGACUAUGUGGCGCCUACUCUUG
Eriocheir sinensis (Chinese mitten crab) is the source of this 1353-nucleotide long non-coding RNA. RefSeq lists it as uncharacterized. The transcript is spliced from 5 exons. NCBI's taxonomy places the organism in Eukaryota, Metazoa, Arthropoda, Malacostraca, Decapoda, Varunidae. The record is from RefSeq and is a predicted model, not a curated record.